This is a long non-coding RNA of Stomoxys calcitrans (stable fly), 523 nucleotides long. RefSeq lists it as uncharacterized. The record is from RefSeq and is a predicted model, not a curated record. Lineage: Eukaryota; Metazoa; Arthropoda; Insecta; Diptera; Muscidae. The transcript is spliced from 2 exons.
GAAAAAGUAUAUAUAAUAGAGAAAGUAAUAAGUGAUUUUCGCUUGUGAAACAAUUGAAAAUUUCAGCGGCUAUUCCGAAAGCAGAAUACAAUACCAACCUUUACAGACAAAUAAAGGGAGAGUGCGAAAAUUUUGGAUGCGGAAGCCUAUAUUUUGCCAUUAUGAUGAGAACUUCAGGUCGAUUUGGGUUAUGUGAAUGGAACAUUCCGUAGUGCAACCUAUUCUUAUAUUGUCAUUAUAGCUACAGUUCUACGUGGAAGUGAAAAAGUUCAUCAACAAAGCUUUCAGGACAACUAUGGUACACAUAGCACUACGGGCACACUAAUACAGAAUAGGUCUUGGUACAAUUAGAAGGUGAAGUCAUGAGCCCAGCUGGUCAAACUUUCCAAUUUCAGAUUUGAAUCCAGAUUUUUGUUUUUCUUCACAUUUUGAAUUUAUAAUUUACACUUUUAUAAUCAUAACUCUUUUGAUCUUGUGGCUGCUACACACGAUAAUGCAAAUAAAAACUAAAAUGUCAAUUUGA